GACGAACGCUGGCGGCGUGCUUAACACAUGCAAGUCGAACGGAAAGGCCCUGCUUUUGUGGGGUGCUCGAGUGGCGAACGGGUGAGUAACACGUGAGUAACCUGCCCUUGACUUUGGGAUAACUUCAGGAAACUGGGGCUAAUACCGGAUAGGAGCUCCUGCUGCAUGGUGGGGGUUGGAAAGUUUCGGCGGUUGGGGAUGGACUCGCGGCUUAUCAGCUUGUUGGUGGGGUAGUGGCUUACCAAGGCUUUGACGGGUAGCCGGCCUGAGAGGGUGACCGGCCACAUUGGGACUGAGAUACGGCCCAGACUCCUACGGGAGGCAGCAGUGGGGAACAUGGCACAAUGGGCGGAAGCCUGAUGCAGCAACGCCGCGUGCGGGAUGACGGCCUUCGGGUUGUAAACCGCUUUCGCCUGUGACGAAGCGUGAGUGACGGUAAUGGGUAAAGAAGCACCGGCUAACUACGUG
This 468-nucleotide ribosomal RNA is filed under the name uncultured bacterium. RNAcentral's name for it is "partial 16S ribosomal RNA". It matches the Rfam family "Bacterial small subunit ribosomal RNA", at positions 28 to 507 of the family's 1533-position model. The record is from RNAcentral.